This is a non-coding RNA of Pelobates cultripes (western spadefoot toad), 11816 nucleotides long. NCBI's taxonomy places the organism in Eukaryota, Metazoa, Chordata, Amphibia, Anura, Pelobatidae. The record is from the annotation of a GenBank genome assembly.
AGAUUUUCAACCAAUGCAAUGUUACCGCAUCACAGUAUAUCAAAUACACAAACAGCAGCGUACUAUUGGAAUGGCAUACUAUUUGAAACGUGAGUUACUAUUAUAUUACUAUCUACUAUUUUUUUUUUUUUUUGUAUUUGACUCAUAAAAUGUGGUGCCUGAAUUAUUCUGGCCCUCUGGCCAUUGGUGCUGGCAUCAGGAUGAACAGUGAUCGGUCUACCCCCAUUAUUGUUUUUAAAGUACCCCACCUGGUGCCCACCAUUUUUUUUACAGGCCUCAUCUAUAGCUGCCUAGUUUUGUUAGCUUCUUUUUUAUCAUUUAGUUCACAUUUCCAACCUGCCAUAUGGCAAGUGGGGGAUGCAGAUGUUUUAAACAUUCCUUACAGUAAUAUGGGAGUCUUCUGCUUGUCUUUGUGUAUUCACAAAAAUCUUACCAUUUUCUGCUGUACCAUUUACCAUUCAAUAUGGAACCUCUCAUAGCAAUGUGGGCUGUCCUUAAAAGCCUAGACCUCAUGCUUGCAGUGAAUUCAUCUGCAUCAGCCCCUACUAGUAAUCUUUGUCUAACACUGCUAUACAACACAUAAUACGGAUUUUGAUUUUAGCUUCAUUUAUGGAGUGCCAUUGUGUAUGUGUGUAUGUGAGUUUUGUAUAGAAAAAAUGUUAGUAAUGCGUGUUUAACCCCUUAGUGACCAGACCGUUUUUCAAUUUUCUUACCGUUAAGGACCAGGGCUCUUUUUAAAUUUCUGCAGUGUUUGUGUUUAGCUGUAAUUUUCCUCAUACUCAUUUACUGUACCCAUACUGUUUUUCUUGCCAUUAAAUGGUCUUUCUAAAGAUACCAUUAGUUUCAUCAUAUCAUACAAUUUACUAUAAACAUUUUUAUAAAAUAUGAUGAAAAAAUGGGAAAAAAACACUUUUUCUAACUUUGACCCCCAAAAUCUGUUACGCAUCUACAACUGCCAAAAAACACCUGUGCUAAAUAGUUUCUACAUUUUUGUCCUUAGAAAUACUCAAUGUCAACAUGUUCUUUGGUUUUUUUUGUUUUGUUUUUUGCAAGUAACAGGGCUAUAAGUACAAGUACUGUAAAAAAAACCUCAAGAAAACCUGGAAUCAAUUUUGGAGGAGACUUCAUACUCCUCCUGUCCAGAAACAACCAAUGGAGGAAGGGGCACACUUGGGACAGUAUACUUAUUGCAAAUAUGUGGUUUAAGUAAAGAAAUAAGAAAUGUAUGAGGAAGACGUAAGGAGGCAGGAAGUACCAGAGAAUAUGAAACAGAGUUAAUUCUCCAAAUGAUACAAAAUGGACCAAGGAAUCUGGGGGCAAAUUUCAUGCUAGGAACUUUUAGUUUGAUGUUGCACAAUGAUAACCACACCCUCUCACCCACCUGGUAAACAGGUUUGGCACCCCGCUGUUUAUCAGCAUGAAACUUAAAACGAGCAGCCGCAGACUCGAGAGCGGAGUGAACUUUGGUCCGAAUCUCACAAAUAGAAGCGAGGUGAUCAUCCAGAGCAGGGAUAGCUGUGUCAGAAAAAACAGUUGGUAGGACAGUAGGAUGAUGACCGUUAUUGAAAAAGAAUGGACUAUGUCCGGAAGAGUUAUGGGUAACAUUGUUCCUGGCAAACUCGGCCCAGGGCAAUAAUUCAGACCAGUCAUUUUGUGUGCUAUUCACAAAACAAUGUAAAUACAAUUCCAUUGAUUGGUUAGCCCUGUCAGUCGUGCCAUUGGUUUGGGGAUGGUAGGAGGAAGAAAAUUACAAUUCAAUACCCAAGUGUUUAUUGAAAGCCCUCCAAAAAUGAGAUACAAACUGGGAACCUCUGUCAGACACAAUAUUUUGAGGAAUACCAUGACAAUGUCUGACAAUGUCUUGUAUAAAGAUAAGAACCGGGUCUUGAGAGGAAGGCAAGUUUUUGAGAGAUAAACAAAAUGAGCCAUCAUGGAAAAGCGGUCAACCACCAUAAGGAUUGUGGUAUAACAAUUAGAACUAAUUAACAAAUUUAAACUUCUUUAGUUUAGAAAAACAACGCCUGAGAGGGGAUAUGAUAACAUUAUACAAAUAUAUUCGGGGCCAAUACAAACCAUUAUGUGGAAAUCUAGUCAGAAACCGGACUUUACAUAGGAUACAAGGUCAUGCGUUUAGACUGGAAGAAAGAAGAUUUAAUCUAAGGCAAAGAAAAGUUAUUUUUUACUGUAAGAACAAUAAGGAUGUGGAAUUCUGGUUUUAUCAGAGUCCAUACAGAUGUUCAAACAAAAACAGAAUAUUCAAGGAUAUAGUUUUUCAAUGUAGGGUAAUAGCUGCUUGAUCCAAGGAUUAAUCUGACUGCCAUUCUGGGGUCAAGAAGGAUUUUUCCUAGUUUGUUGCAAGUGCUUCAAACUGUUUUUUUUUUUUGCCUUCUUUUGGAACAACAGCAAAAAACAAAUGUGAGGGUGGCUGAACUUGAUGGACGCAAGUCUCUUUUCAGCUAUGUAACUAUUUAACUAGGAAGUUCCACGAUGAAAUUCAUGGAUAAAUGAGACCAUGGAACACUAGGUACAGGAAGUGGAUGUAAUAAUCUACAAGGAAGUUUAUGAGGAACCUUAGAAACUACACAUACUGAACAGGCUUCACAUAUUUCUUGACAUCUUUCCUGAGUGAAUCCCACCAAAAUGAUCUCAGGAUAGCGGAUGUGGACUUAUUAAUAAAUAAAAUAGAAAGGUGAACAGCGCUAAAAAUCAGAAAGUGUACAUACGUUUUGUAGAAAUACUGGCCAGCAGAGUAACUUAAAAAAAGAGAGAAACAAAAAUACAAAUAAUGGUACAGUAUGUAUGAACGAUAUAAUUCCACAAGAACAAAGGUGUUAUAUUCACACUCACACUUUGAGGAGCUAUAUCAGCUCGGUGUUAAGAGCCUGGACGGAAUAAUCCCCGUCUAUGGAUUUCUUGAGGUUCAAGACCGUUGGUGAAUUUAUAGGUGUAAAUAUUCGUUACAUAUACUAGAGCAACGACCUGCUCUAGUUUGGAGAAUUUCAGGUGGAAUAAUCCCCACCUUGGGAUAUAGUGGACCCAGGUAUAGCAGCAAAGCAGUAUUGGAUAGGAAGGAGGACAAAAAGAAAUGACUGGAUAGUUAAAAAAUAUAUAUACUUUAAUACAAUAAGUGAAAAGUGAAUAAUAAACUAUAAAACCAGUCUUGUAUAAAAGUCCAAAAUUCUUCCUCACUUGACGCGUUUCGCCGAAGCUUUCUCAAAAGUGAAUGCUUGCUGCUUGGGGUCCUUGAGAUUAUAUACCUUCUCUGAUGAUGAAAAUCGAUUCUGCUGUGCAUAUUUCCUCAUUUCCUGUUUUCAGCAAGAUAGCAUAGACAGGAAGUUCUCCGGACACCAUCUUGGAUGUGGGCAAUUUGUGGGAAAGUUCAAAAAUAGGAAUCAUAGGUAUACAAUAACAUAAUAACAUAUUAAAUCAGAUAAAAACGUGAAUAAUUACAGAUGUGGGCACACAUAGAGUAUAUGAUAGUGGAAAUCGAUUCUACUAUGUGUAUUUCCUCAUUUCCUGUUUUCAGCAAGAUAGCAUAGACAGGAAGUUCUCCGGACGCCAUCUUGGAUAUGGGCAAUUUGUGGAAAGUUCAAAAAUAGAGAUCAAAAGUAUACAAUAACAUAAUAACAUAUUGAAUCAGCUAAUAACUUGAAUAAUUACAGAAAUGGAUACACAUAGAGCAUAUAAGUGACAUAAAAGAUAUAAUUAAUUACUUGAUAGUGUCAUAAACUAAACUGUUCCGGCCGCCAUUUUAGAUAUGGGCUAGUGAUAGAAAUUGAGCUCAAAGAAUGCCAUAUCGAAAAAGGACAUACUUUAAAUGGAAAGGGGACAUGUAUAUACAGCUAGGGGAAAUAUAAAUAGUAUAAAAACACAGUAGUAUCUGCAUAAAAGGGUGUAAAAGAAUUUAUAAACACCCAUUGAAAAUGGGUUAUAGAACGAGUGAUAAAAAAUAAAUUUUACAAAAUGAAUUAUAAGAAAUGAACCAAAUCGAAUUCUAUAUUAAGUCCAUUUGGGUGGAGGGUAUCUAAACGAUAGACCCACUCCAUUUCUAACUUGACUAUGUUUAUUUUGGUGUCGCCCCCUCUCCAAUGUGGUUUAUAUUUAGCAAUACCCAAAAAUUUUAAUAGGCUGGGGUCUUUGUUGUGCUGUAAAAAGUGCGCAGAUACAGAGUGAUUUUUGUAGCCUUUUUCAAUAUUACGGCAGUGUUCACUAAUUCUUACUUUCAAUGGUCUUAUUGUUCUGCUGACGUAUUGUAGUCCACAUGGACACUCUAACAUGUAGAUUACGUUAUUGCUAUUACACGUUAAAAUUUCAUUAAUGUUAAAGAGCUUUUUGUUUCUGUUAGACUUAAACUCUGAUGUGCAUUUUUCCAUUUUGUGUGUUUUUCUACAUGAUAUGCACGUGUUACAUCUAAAAAAAACCUUUAUUGAUAGUUAAAAAAUUGUUUUUUUGUAUGUUUUGAUUUCUAGUGAAAUUAUUUGUAAGUUGUAGUUUUAGAUUAGGUGCACCUCUAUAUAUUAUAGUGGGUUUAUCUGGUAGGGCUUCACUUAGUAUUGGAUCCUCUUUAAGUAAAUGCCAAUUUUUGUUAAUCUUUUUGAUAUGUUUGUUUUUAUUAUUAUAGUCGAAUAUCAAAGGAAGGGUGAAUUUUUUUUUUGCAUGUGGACUUAUUAAUGCCUGGAUGCACAGCAGUCACAUUGUUGUGGAAUACCCUCAUUACCUUCUCUCUUUCAAUCAACGGAACAAACAAUUUAUCUGGAGGUUUAUUGCUGGGAUUGAACCUCUAUGAUAGCACCAAGCAGAGGUGAUAAGGAAAGAAGAGUGGAAACAAUGACACACUCAGGUGGAACAUUAGGGGAUGUCUCUUGUUCUGAUUCAAUGUCAAACUUAUAAGUUAUAAGAAAGUUAAAGCGAGAUAAGAACAAAGGACACAUUUUUGUGGUCAGUUAUGAUCAAAAGGGGGUCCUUGGAACCCUCUAAAAGAUGUCACCAUUCUUUAAGCGCGAGUAUUAUGGCCAACAAUUCUCUGUUACCAAUAUCAUAAUUACGCUCUGCUAGAGACAACUUUCUAGAGAAGAACGCACACAGAUGCAAAGGGGUAUCCUGACUUUCUCUCUGUUUUUGAAGGCAUCAACAUCCAGUAUGAAGGUUUUGCUAGUGUCAUGAUGUACCAAAAUGUCAGCUGAAGCAAAACAUUUUUAAGAAGUUCAAAAACUUCUCUAGCUUCCAUAGACUAUAUCGUACAACUAACUCCCUUCCAUGUCAUAUUGGUGGUGGGGGCUAUCACAGAAGGGAAUCCUUUGAUAAAUCUCCUGUAAUAAUUAGCAAAACCAAUUAACAUUUGAAUGGCUUUUAGCCCAUUAGGCAAUGGCCAACGUAGAACUGCCUCAAGUUUAUGAGGAUCCAUUUGAAAACCAGAGGCAGAAAUAUUAUACCCCCAAAAAACUGUACCUCAGUUUGGUCAAAGAUGCAUUUUUUCAAGUUUGCAAUGAAGUCUAUUCUUAAGCAAGGUUUGCAGCACUUGUUUGACAUGUUUGUGGUGAGUCUGAAGGUCAGGGGAAUAAAUAAGGAUAUCAUCCAGGUAUACUAUAACAAAUUAAUAAAUAUAGUUUCUGAGCACAUAAUUAAUAAAGUCCUGAAAUAUGACUGGAGCAUUGCAUAACCCGAAGGGCAUGACAAGGUACUCACAGUGCACACUUCUAGUGUUAAAUGCUGUUUUCCACUCACAAUCUUCCUUAAUUCUUACCAAAUUGUACACACUCCUGAGGUCAAGUUUAGUAAAUACUUUAGCACCCUGGAGUCUGUCAAACAAUUCGGAGAUAGGCAUUUUGUUAUGGUGAUCUUGUUCAAUGCCCUGUAAUCCAAGCAUGGGCGUAACUUUCCAUUUUUUUUUUAGAUACAAAAAAUAACCCUGCACCAGCAGGCGAGGAUGAUUUAUGUAUGUGGCCCUUACUUAGGGAAUCUUUGAUGUACUCAUCCAUGAUUCUACUCUCCUGUGGAGAUAAGGCAUACACUGUCAGAAAAUACAGUGUUUACAAGAGAAAGACUGCAGGGAGCUAUAGUUCUCACCUGAACAACCUCAUAAAGCUGAAGUUGUUGACUAUAGUGUCCGUUUAAAACUAGAUUUAAAUGUAUCUAUAGAAGUGAUAGUUACUGUAAAAGUAUGUGUAAGAAGUAGCUAUGUAGAUCAGUAGCACAGCCUUAUUGUGUUACUGAUCUAAAUAGCUACCUUUUCAUAUUGCAACAUUGUUAUAGUUUUUGCUAUAACUUUUGGCUACACGUACUCUUACCGCAGCUCUCUAGAACUUUUAUGUAAGAUACUGAUUUUUAUAUCCAGUUUUAAAUGAGUGAGUGCUGUUUAGGCGACAUGCCCCUACUACAUGGGGGGACCUGGCACAAGUAGGGGCAUGCGGGAGGAUUUAACCUGCGCUAGGUCCCCCCUUAUUGAAUGAGGAGGUAGGAAUGGUUUCUAUUACAAGGAGGGAGCUGGUAGCACUGCCGGCUCCCUUCUUGCUUUUUUUGUGUGCAUGCGCAGCGCUAUUUUUGUCUUAAUGGAUGAAAACAAAUUAUUUUUAAAAAAAUUUCAUUUGAAAACGAAUUGUUUACGGACAAAAUUCGGGAUUGACAAAUUUAAUUUUUAUUUAGUACGAAAUCAUUCAUACAAAAUGAAAAUUUCACAGGUGCACAUGUAUAGUGGCCGCCCAUUUUACUCAGAUGUAUUCUAUUGAGUAAUUAUGCUCAGAUAUAUAGAGCACUUUACUUGUUAUCAUUAUGCUCAGUGACCAAGGCUUCACACUGAAACAUUUCCGCUUUAUCUGUUGGGAUCUGUAGUAUCUCCCUCUUCUCUUAACUGUAUAUACAGGGAGUGCAGAAUUAUUAGGCAAGUUGUAUUUUUGAGGAUUAAUUUUAUUAUUGAACAACAACCAUGUUCUCAAUGAACCCAAAAAACUCAUUAAUAUCAAAGCUGAAUAUUUUUGGAAGUAGUUUUUAGUUUGUUUUUAGUUAUAGCUAUGUUAGGGGGAUAUCUGUGUGUGCAGGUGACUAUUACUGUGCAUAAUUAUUAGGCAACUUAACAAAAAACAAAUAUAUACCCAUUUCAAUUAUUUAUUAUUACCAGUGAAACCAAUAUAACAUCUCAACAUUCACAAAUAUACAUUUCUGACAUUCAAAAACAAAACAAAAACAAAUCAGUGACCAAUAUAGCCACCUUUCUUUGCAAGGACACUCAAAAGCCUGCCAUCCAUGGAUUCUGUCAGUGUUUUGAUCUGUUCACCAUCAACAUUGCGUGCAGCAGCAACCACAGCCUCCCAGACACUGUUCAGAGAGGUGUACUGUUUUCCCUCCUUGUAAAUCUCACAUUUGAUGAUGGACCACAGGUUCUCAAUGGGGUUCAGAUCAGGUGAACAAGGAGGCCAUGUCAUUAGAUUUUCUUCUUUUAUACCCUUUCUUGCCAGCCACGCUGUGGAGUACUUGGACGCGUGUGAUGGAGCAUUGUCCUGCAUGAAAAUCAUGUUUUUCUUGAAGGAUGCAGACUUCUUCCUGUACCACUGCUUGAAGAAGGUGUCUUCCAGGAACUGGCAGUAGGACUGGGAGUUGAGCUUGACUCCAUCCUCAACCCGAAAAGGCCCCACAAGCUCAUCUUUGAUGAUACCAGCCCAAACCAGUACUCCACCUCCACCUUGCUGGCGUCUGAGUCGGACUGGAGCUCUCUGCCCUUUACCAAUCCAGCCACGGGCCCAUCCAUCUGGCCCAUCAAGACUCACUCUCAUUUCAUCAGUCCAUAAAACCUUAGAAAAAUCAGUCUUGAGAUAUUUCUUGGCCCAGUCUUGACGUUUCAGCUUGUGUGUCUUGUUCAGUGGUGGUCGCCUUUCAGCCUUUCUUACCUUGGCCAUGUCUCUGAGUAUUGCACACCUUGUGCUUUUGGGCACUCCAGUGAUGUUGCAGCUCUGAAAUAUGGCCAAACUGGUGGCAAGUGGCAUCGUGGCAGCUGCACGCUUGACUUUUCUCAGUUCAUGGGCAGUUAUUUUGCGCCUUGGUUUUUCCACACGCUUCUUGCGACCCUGUUGACUAUUUUGAAUGAAACGCUUGAUUGUUCGAUGAUCACGCUUCAGAAGCUUUGCAAUUUUAAGAGUGCUGCAUCCCUCUGCAAGAUAUCUCACUAUUUUUGACUUUUCUGAGCCUGUCAAGUCCUUCUUUGACCCAUUUUGCCAAAGGAAAGGAAGUUGCCUAAUAAUUAUGCACACCUGAUAUAGGGUGUUGAUGUCAUUAGACCACACCCCUUCUCAUUACAGAGAUGCACAUCACCUAAUAUGCUUAAUUGGUAAUAGGCUUUCGAGCCUAUACAGCUUGGAGUAAGACAACAUGCAUAAAGAGGAUGAUGUGGUCAAAAUACUCAUUUGCCUAAUAAUUCUGCACUCCCUGUAUUUCUUUUUUUUUUUUCAUUUCAUUAUUUUUUAUUAUUUUUCGAAAAUUUAUCACAAUAGACCAGGGGUUCUCAACGUUAGUCCUCAGGACCCCCUACCACUCCAGGGUUUAGGGAUUACCUGGGUGUGUCUAAGGUGUUUAGAAAAAGAAAAAAAAAACACCUUAGAGCCCCAAAUCCUCGACUGGUAGGGGGUCCUGAGGACUGGGUUGAGAACCCCUGCAAUAGACAAUAAAUACAUUUAAAAAAAAUAAACAAAAGACAAUACAACAAUAAAUACAUUCUGACAGUUCUAGCACUCUAAGAUACCAAAUUUUUAAUUUAUUACCCUUAAUUAUCACCUUAUUUAUAAAUUAGACAACAUACCAAAUUUAGUAUCUUCACUUUGACUUGAGAGGCCCUUAAAUAGUUAUUCACUGUCUAUGAUAAACCAUGUAAACAUAAAAACAUACAAACAUAAAGUCAUACUGUGCCGAGAUCUAUAAAUCCUGACAGAUAGUGCUUUACUAAAGGAUAUUUUCCCCUUUUCUUUUCCCUUUUCUCCUACUUUCUCUUUUCUUCUCCCCUUUUUUUUUUUAUAAAAUAUACGCUAUAAAUAGCCAAAAAAGGCUUUAUAUAGAGAAGCAAAAUAUAGAAACUUUACAACCUUAUGAACAUAUCAACAGUGUUAUCUCUCUAAGAUAUAAAGUUAUUAAACCAUUUUUCUAAUCUGUCUCUAUAUUCAUUAGUUGUUUGUCAUACUAAGUUUAUCAUCUUUGAUUCUUCUCAAAACAAUUUUAAGAUAUUAUUCACUACUUGUAUUUAACAGUAAUGUCCAAUAUAUAUAUACUGUGCCAAGAUCAAAUAAUAGAUACUAUUAUUUUCCUUAUGUAGGGCUUAAUUUUUUUACCCAUUACUCCAAUUGUUCUAUUCUAGAAUUAGUAUAAUUAUCUUGUCUCAGGAUUCCAAUCUACAUUUGGCAAUGGUUCAGGACCUGAUAUUUUAUCAUAUCCCAAAAGGGGGAAUCAGAUAAUUUCCAAUAUCUCGCUAAUGUUGCUUUAGUCUCCGUUAAGAUGUGAAUCACUAUAUCUUUUUUGCUUCUUGAAAUUCUAGGCCAACCCAGAUGUAGUACAAAAGACUUACACCUACAAAAGUAAAGUCAAGAUCUACUUUUAUCACCUCUUGACAAAAUUUUGCUACUUUAUUCCAUAGAUGACUUAGGUUUGGGCAAGACCACCAGAUAUGGACAUAGUCUGCUCUAGAUGAGCCACAUCUCCAACACUUAUAUUGAGAGGAUGGGUAAAUUUUUGCCAAUUUAGUGGGGACAUAGUGCCAUCUAUUAAUGAUCUUAUAUUGACUUUCAGUUGAAUUUAAACAAUGAAUAGCCUUAGUUACUGCAUUAUUUGCAUUUAUCCACUCAUUUCUUGUGAUAGUAAUCUGUAGGCCUUUUUCCCAUGAAACAAGGGCUGGGAAUAUUGGGCUUGAUUUAUAUAAUUUAUAUAAUUUAGCACAAUGUGAUACUAAAUUUGUAUUACUUUUAGAAUUAGAUUCAUGAAUAGAUGUAAUCCUUCAGAUGAUUCUAUGACCCUAUGUUUGUGUAAAAAGUGCUUUAUCCUUAAAUAUGCAAAAUUCUCUCUAUAGGGAAGAGAAAAUAGCUGCCUAAUCUCCUCAAAAGACAUAAUUAGAUUUUGUUGCAUUAUUUGAUCUAUAUUAUUAAUACCAUUAGACGUCCAGGUUUUUAUAUUUAAAUCUUCUAUAUUGGCUGUCAAAAUGUUCAAAGGUAUAUCCGUAAUAAUUUUAUUCAGUAUCUUAAGUCUCUUUUUCCAAUUUUUCCACUGCAAUAAUAAAUUAUCCAUAAUUAGGCCUAUGUUUAUGUUAUAUCUCUUUUGUAGGCUCCAAAAUAUAGCUAAUAAGUCUGGAGAUCCCAGUCUUUUAGCUUCUAUUUUUGCCCAGGCUUCCUCUGCAGAGCUCUCCUUUAACGAUAUAAUUAAAUGAGCCAAUGCGCAUGUCUCAUAUGUCUCUAGAAUGUCUGGGACACCCAACCCACCCUUUUUUGAAUUCAUAUUUAAUAUUUUUUUAUUCACCCUUGGUUUUUUUUCAGCCAUAUAAACUUUUCAAAAGCUGUCUGUAUCAUUAUAAGACAUGGUUUUGGAAUUUUAAGAGGUAUCAUGCGGAAUAUAUAGCUCCAUUUGGGUGUUACGGAUGAUUUUACAACAUUUAUUCUCCCAAUCCAUGAUAUCUCUGCAGUUCUUAAGUCUUUAAGUUGUUUGUUUAUUUGUUUCAUCAUAGGGAGAAUAUUGUUCUCUAUGAUUUUAUUUGGGUUACUUGUUAUUUUAAUACCUAGAUAUUGCAAAUAUUUCUUAGCCCAAGCGAAGUCGUAUUUAUUUACAAUCUUCCCUCUAUCUUCCUUACUUAAAUUUUUUGCUAAUGUAGUUGUUUUAUAUACAUUCAAUUUGAGAUUGGAGUAAUUUCCAAAUUCGGUUAUAACUUUCAUCAAUUCAUUCAAUGAUGAUACGGGAUCUGUAAUGGAGAUUAGGACAUCGUCCGGAUAUAGUGAUAAUUUGUAGUCUUCUUGACCUAUUCUGACUCCUUUAAUCUCUAGGUUUUCCCUAAUUUUGAACUGUAUAUAUUUCAAUACUUUUUUGCAUUGAUUCAGGUGUUUGGUACGUGUCAUUUAAUUUGUUGGUUUUAGAGUGUACAUUUUUGUUUUCUUCAUUGUGUAUUUUGCAUUUAUUUUCUGUUUUUCCUUUUUUCAUGCUUUGAGUUGUACUGACUAUUUUGUGAUUUGUUAUGUACUACUUUGUCAGUUGACCUAAUGUCUGGUGAGUAAAAUUGGAUAUUGUCUAGAAAUAUUUUUUUCUGAUUUGUUUCAUUUCUAAUGAGUAUGUACUGAAUACAUGUAACACACUGUAUUCGAUUGUUCCAUUGGGUGUGCUCCUUUGGGAUCUAUUGGGGGUUUAUGUUUAGACUCUAGGGGAAUUAAGUGAGCAUUUGUCAUAUAUUUUAUUACCAUAUUUAUUGGUUAGAAUUCAUUUCACUAGAGUAAUUUUACUGUCUAAUUGUUGUUGUUUUCACGUGAGCAGAGAUUUCUCCAUGCUCACACCAAAAUGAUAGGAUGUUUCAUGUCAUCCUAAAACCAUUAACACUCUGGGGACAAUGGCGUAACGAAUCCCAAUGUCAUUAAUGGGUUAAGUAUGGCUUGCAAUAUUGAUUUUUACGGUUUGUUUUUAGUAUCUGAUUUGGUACCAAAAUGUACUAAUUGAUACUCUAAAACAUAUUUUUCAGCUUCGAUGAACAAAGGACCAAGCAACCUCACAGUGAUCAUGCUUACAGCUGACUCUGUUUUGUUAAAAUGGGAAGGCUUUAACCUUUGUCAGUGUCAAGGACUUCUAAAGACCUGGGUUGUAAUCACCACAAA